AAAAAAAAAAAAAAAAAAAACAAAA
This 25-nucleotide small nuclear RNA is filed under the name Arabidopsis thaliana (thale cress). RNAcentral's name for it is "snRNA_10270". RNAcentral also lists the same sequence under 1 other name. The record is from RNAcentral. Lineage: Eukaryota; Viridiplantae; Streptophyta; Magnoliopsida; Brassicales; Brassicaceae.